This 690-nucleotide ribosomal RNA is filed under the name uncultured Bacteroidota bacterium. RNAcentral's name for it is "bacterial SSU rRNA". It matches the Rfam family "Bacterial small subunit ribosomal RNA", at positions 63 to 754 of the family's 1533-position model. The record is from RNAcentral. Lineage: Bacteria; Pseudomonadati; Bacteroidota.
CGAGGGGUAUUGGUUUUCGGACCAAGAGACCGGCGCACGGGUGCGUAACGCGUAUGCAAUCUACCUUUUACAGAGGGAUAGCCCAGAGAAAUUUGGAUUAAUACCUCAUAGUAUUACGACUCGGCAUCGAGAUGUAAUUAAAGUCACAACGGUAAAAGAUGAGCAUGCGUCCCAUUAGCUUGUUGGUAAGGUAACGGCUUACCAAGGCAACGAUGGGUAGGGGUCCUGAGAGGGAGAUCCCCCACACUGGUACUGAGACACGGACCAGACUCCUACGGGAGGCAGCAGUGAGGAAUAUUGGUCAAUGGGCGCAAGCCUGAACCAGCCAUGCCGCGUGCAGGAUGAAGCAUCUAUGGUGUGUAAACUGCUUUUGUACGAGAAGAAACACUCCUUCGUGAAGGAGCUUGACGGUAUCGUAAGAAUAAGGACCGGCUAACUCCGUGCCAACAGCCGCGGUAAUACGGAGGGUCCAAGCGUUAUCCGGAAUCAUUGGGUUUAAAGGGUCCGUAGGCGGUUUUGUAAGUCAGUGGUGAAAGCCCAUCGCUCAACGGUGGAACGGCCAUUGAUACUGCAAGACUUGAAUUAUUGGGAAGUAACUAGAAUAUGUAGUGUAGCGGUGAAAUGCUUAGAGAUUACAUGGAAUACCAAUUGCGAAGGCAGGUUACUACCAAUAUAUUGACGCUGAUGGAC